Molecule: ribosomal RNA, 1385 nt
Filed under: uncultured bacterium
Lineage: Bacteria
Description: bacterial SSU rRNA
Rfam family: Bacterial small subunit ribosomal RNA
Source: RNAcentral
AGAGUUUGAUCAUGGCUCAGAUUGAACGCUGGCGGCAUGCCUUACACAUGCAAGUCGAACGGCAGCAUGAUCUAGCUUGCUAGAUUGAUGGCGAGUGGCGAACGGGUGAGUAAUACAUCGGAACGUGCCCUGUAGUGGGGGAUAACUAGUCGAAAGAUUAGCUAAUACCGCAUACGACCUGAGGGUGAAAGUGGGGGACCGCAAGGCCUCAUGCUAUAGGAGCGGCCGAUGUCUGAUUAGCUAGUUGGUGAGGUAAAGGCUCACCAAGGCGACGAUCAGUAGCUGGUCUGAGAGGACGAUCAGCCACACUGGGACUGAGACACGGCCCAGACUCCUAUGGGAGGCAGCAGUGGGGAAUUUUGGACAAUGGGGGCAAUCCUGAUCCAGCAAUGCCGCGUGUGUGAAGAAGGCCUUCGGGUUGUAAAGCACUUUUGUCCGGAAAGAAAUCGCACUUACUAAUAUUAGGUGUGGAUGACGGUACCGGAAGAAUAAGGACCGGCUAACUACGUGCCAGCAGCCGCGGUAAUACGUAGGGUCCAAGCGUUAAUCGGAAUUACUGGGCGUAAAGCGUGCGCAGGCGGUUGUGCAAGACCGAUGUGAAAUCCCCGGGCUUAACCUGGGAAUUGCAUUGGUGACUGCACGGCUAGAGUGUGUCAGAGGGGGGUAGAAUUCCACGUGUAGCAGUGAAAUGCGUAGAGAUGUGGAGGAAUACCGAUGGCGAAGGCAGCCCCCUGGGAUAACACUGACGCUCAUGCACGAAAGCGUGGGGAGCAAACAGGAUUAGAUACCCUGGUAGUCCACGCCCUAAACGAUGUCAACUAGUUGUUGGGGAUUCAUUUCCUUAGUAACGUAGCUAACGCGUGAAGUUGACCGCCUGGGGAGUACGGUCGCAAGAUUAAAACUCAAAGGAAUUGACGGGGACCCGCACAAGCGGUGGAUGAUGUGGAUUAAUUCGAUGCAACGCGAAAAACCUUACCUACCCUUGACAUGCCACUAACGAAGCAGAGAUGCAUUAGGUGCUCGAAAGAGAAAGUGGACACAGGUGCUGCAUGGCUGUCGUCAGCUCGUGUCGUGAGAUGUUGGGUUAAGUCCCGCAACGAGCGCAACCCUUGUCUCUAGUUGCUACGAAAGGGCACUCUAGAGAGACUGCCGGUGACAAACCGGAGGAAGGUGGGGAUGACGUCAAGUCCUCAUGGCCCUUAUGGGUAGGGCUUCACACGUCAUACAAUGGUGCAUACAGAGGGUUGCCAAGCCGCGAGGUGGAGCUAAUCCCAGAAAAUGCAUCGUAGUCCGGAUCGUAGUCUGCAACUCGACUACGUGAAGCUGGAAUCGCUAGUAAUCGCGGAUCAGCAUGCCGCGGUGAAUACGUUCCCGGGUCUUGUAGA